AACGNGGGGNCUUAANCAUGCAAGUCGAACGGGAUCCAUCAGGCUUUGCUUGGUGGUGAGAGUGGCGAACGGGUGAGUAAUGCGUGACCGACCUGCCCCAUACACCGGAAUAGCUCCUGGAAACGGGUGGUAAUGCCGGAUGCUCCGACUCCUCGCAUGGGGUGUCGGGAAAGAUUUCAUCGGUAUGGGAUGGGGUCGCGUCCUAUCAGGUAGUCGGCGGGGUAACGGCCCACCGAGCCUACGACGGGUAGCCGGCCUGAGAGGGCGACCGGCCACAUUGGGACUGAGAUACGGCCCAGACUCCUACGGGAGGCAGCAGUGGGGAAUAUUGCACAAUGGGCGCAAGCCUGAUGCAGCGACGCCGCGUGCGGGAUGACGGCCUUCGGGUUGUAAACCGCUUUUGAUCGGGAGCAAGCCUUCGGGUGAGUGUACCUUUCGAAUAAGCACCGGCUAACUACGUGCCAGCAGCCGCGGUAAUACGUAGGGUGCAAGCGUUAUCCGGAAUUAUUGGGCGUAAAGGGCUCGUAGGCGGUUCGUCGCGUCCGGUGUGAAAGUCCAUCGCUUAACGGUGGAUCUGCGCCGGGUACGGGCGGGCUGGAGUGCGGUAGGGGAGACUGGAAUUCCCGGUGUAACGGUGGAAUGUGUAGAUAUCGGGAAGAACACCAAUGGCGAAGGCAGGUCUCUGGGCCGUUACUGACGCUGAGGAGCGAAAGCGUGGGGAGCGAACAGGAUUAGAUACCCUGGUAGUCCACGCCGUAAACGGUGGAUGCUGGAUGUGGGGCCCGUUCCACGGGUUCCGUGUCGGAGCUAACGCGUUAAGCAUCCCGCCUGGGGAGUACGGCCGCAAGGCUAAAACUCAAAGAAAUUGACGGGGGCCCGCACAAGCGGCGGAGCAUGCGGAUUAAUUCGAUGCAACGCGAAGAACCUUACCUGGGCUUGACAUGUUCCCGACCGCGGCAGAGAUGUCGUUUCCCUUCGGGGCGGGUUCACAGGUGGUGCAUGGUCGUCGUCAGCUCGUGUCGUGAGAUGUUGGGUUAAGUCCCGCAACGAGCGCAACCCUCGCCCUGUGUUGCCAGCACGUCAUGGUGGGAACUCACGGGGGACCGCCGGGGUCAACUCGGAGGAAGGUGGGGAUGACGUCAGAUCAUCAUGCCCCUUACGUCCAGGGCUUCACGCAUGCUACAAUGGCCGGUACAACGGGAUGCGACACGGCGACGUGGAGCGGAUCCUGAAACCGGUCUCAGUUCGGAUUGGAUNUGCACCCGACUCCUGAAGGGGAGUCGCUAUAAUCGCGAUCACAACGCCGCGGGAAUGCUUCCCGGCCUUUACCACGCCGUCAAUCUUGAAAGGGGAACCCCCAAACCGUGGCUACCCUUUUGGAGGACCGCUAAGGGAC
This 1396-nucleotide ribosomal RNA is filed under the name Bifidobacterium pseudocatenulatum. Its description in RNAcentral is "bacterial SSU rRNA". It matches the Rfam family "Bacterial small subunit ribosomal RNA". Lineage: Bacteria; Bacillati; Actinomycetota; Actinomycetes; Bifidobacteriales; Bifidobacteriaceae. The record is from RNAcentral.